Molecule: ribosomal RNA, 387 nt
Filed under: uncultured bacterium
Lineage: Bacteria
Description: bacterial SSU rRNA
Rfam family: Bacterial small subunit ribosomal RNA
Source: RNAcentral
UUGAACGCUGGCGGCAUGCCUUACACAUGCAAGUCGAACGGUAACGCGGGGGGCAACCCUGGCGACGAGUGGCGAACGGGUGAGUAAUACAUCGGAACGUACCCAGUAGUGGGGGAUAGCUCGGCGAAAGCCGGAUUAAUACCGCAUACGACCUAUGGGUGAAAGCGGGGGAUCGCAAGACCUCGCGCUAUUGGAGCGGCCGAUGUCGGAUUAGCUAGUUGGUGAGGUAAAGGCUCACCAAGGCUACGAUCCGUAGCUGGUCUGAGAGGACGACCAGCCACACUGGGACUGAGACACGGCCCAGACUCCUACGGGAGGCAGCAGUGGGGAAUUUUGGACAAUGGGCGAAAGCCUGAUCCAGCCAUGCCGCGUGUGUGAAGAAGGCCU